RNAcentral lists this ribosomal RNA (482 nucleotides) under uncultured bacterium. RNAcentral's name for it is "partial 16S ribosomal RNA". It matches the Rfam family "Bacterial small subunit ribosomal RNA", at positions 30 to 507 of the family's 1533-position model. The record is from RNAcentral.
AUUGAACGCUGGCGGCAUGCCUUACACAUGCAAGUCGAACGGUAACGGGCCUUCGGGUGCCGACGAGUGGCGAACGGGUGAGUAAUACAUCGGAGCGUGCCCGAUCGUGGGGGAUAACGAGGCGAAAGCUUUGCUAAUACCGCAUACGAUCUACGGAUGAAAGCAGGGGACCGCAAGGCCUUGCGCGGACGGAGCGGCCGAUGGCAGAUUGGGUAGUUGGUGGGAUAAAAGCUUACCAAGCCGACGAUCUGUAGCUGGUCUGAGAGGAUGAUCAGCCACACUGGGACUGAGACACGGCCCAGACUCCUACGGGAGGCAGCAGUGGGGAAUUUUGGACAAUGGGCGCAAGCCUGAUCCAGCCAUGCCGCGUGCAGGAUGAAGGCCUUCGGGUUGUAAACUGCUUUUGUACGGAACGAAAAGCCUUCUUUUAAUACAGGAGGGUCAUGACGGUACCGUAAGAAUAAGCACCGGCUAACUACGUG